UGCGAGCCUCUUCCCCAGCAACCCGAGCUCCACUUUCGGGGUCCGCCAUUCACUGUUCCGUCCCCGGCGCCGAGCUCCAAUGAAGGAGAGCCCCCUGCAUGCAGCCAUGGCAGAGUUAAUGAAGCGUCGUUAGGAAUUUCACCGCUUGGUUUUCUUUCAAGAGAAGCCGCUCCAAGGCAGACUUUGGCAAAGCUGUACCCUGAAGACGUGGAAACUGGUUGGGAUGAUGAGGUGGAUUAGUCUAUACGUUUUCUUUGAGCUCAGGAUCUGGUCUGAUGUAGGCGUGUGAUUAGUUGAGGCAUGC
RNAcentral lists this long non-coding RNA (304 nucleotides) under Setaria italica (foxtail millet). RNAcentral's name for it is "long non-coding RNA (SITA_LNC004219)". The record is from RNAcentral. Lineage: Eukaryota; Viridiplantae; Streptophyta; Magnoliopsida; Poales; Poaceae.